GAUGAACGCUGGCGGCGUGCCUAAUACAUGCAAGUCGAGCGAACGGACGAGAAGCUUGCUUCUCUGAUGUUAGCGGCGGACGGGUGAGUAACACGUGGAUAACCUACCUAUAAGACUGGGAUAACUUCGGGAAACCGUAGCUAAUACCGGAUAAUAUUUUGAAUCGCAUGGUUCAAAAGUGAAAGACGGUCUUGCUGUCACUUAUAGAUGGAUCCGCGCUGCAUUAGCUAGCUGGUAAGGUAACGGCUUACCAAGGCAACGAUGCAUAGCCGACCUGAGAGGGUGAUCGGCCACACUGGAACUGAGACACGGUCCAGACUCCUACGGGAGGCAGCAGUAGGGAAUCUUCCGCAAUGGGCGAAAGCCUGACGGAGCAACGCCGCGUGAGUGAUGAAGGUCUUCGGAUCGUAAAACUCUGUUAUUAGGGAAGAACAUAUGUGUAAGUAACUGUGCACAUCUUGACGGUACCUAAUCAGAAAGCCACGGCUAACUACGUG
Molecule: ribosomal RNA, 497 nt
Filed under: uncultured bacterium
Lineage: Bacteria
Description: partial 16S ribosomal RNA
Rfam family: Bacterial small subunit ribosomal RNA
Source: RNAcentral